RNAcentral lists this ribosomal RNA (253 nucleotides) under uncultured bacterium. RNAcentral's name for it is "partial 16S ribosomal RNA". It matches the Rfam family "Bacterial small subunit ribosomal RNA", at positions 524 to 776 of the family's 1533-position model. The record is from RNAcentral.
UACGAAGGGGGCGAGCGUUGUUCGGAUUUACUGGGCGUAAAGCGCGCGCAGGCGGUCUUUCAAGUCAGUGGUGAAAGCCCGGAGCUCAACUCCGGAAAUGCCAUUGAAACUGUAAGACUUGAGGAUGAGAGAGGUGAGUGGAAUUCCCAGUGUAGAGGUGAAAUUCGUAGAUAUUGGGAAGAACACCGGUGGCGAAGGCGGCUCACUGGCUCAUAUCUGACGCUCAGGCGCGACAGCGUGGGGAUCAAACAGG